ACUCCUACGGGAGGCAGCAGUGGGGAAUAUUGGACAAUGGGCGGAAGCCUGAUCCAGCCAUGCCGCGUGUGUGAAGAAGGCCUUUUGGUUGUAAAGCACUUUAAGCGAGGAGGAGGCUACUAGUACUAAUACUACUGGAUAGUGGACGUUACUCGCAGAAUAAGCACCGGCUAACUCUGUGCCAGCAGCCGCGGUAAUACAGAGGGUGCGAGCGUUAAUCGGAUUUACUGGGCGUAAAGCGUGCGUAGGCGGCUUUUUAAGUCGGAUGUGAAAUCCCCGAGCUUAACUUGGGAAUUGCAUUCGAUACUGGGAAGCUAGAGUAUGGGAGAGGAUGGUAGAAUUCCAGGUGUAGCGGUGAAAUGCGUAGAGAUCUGGAGGAAUACCGAUGGCGAAGGCAGCCAUCUGGCCUAAUACUGACGCUGAGGUACGAAAGCAUGGGGAGCAAACAGGAUUAGAUACCCUGGUAGUCCAUGCCGUAAACGAUGUCUACUAGCCGUUGGGGCCUUUGAGGCUUUAGUGGCGCAGCUAACGCGAUAAGU
Molecule: ribosomal RNA, 539 nt
Filed under: uncultured bacterium
Lineage: Bacteria
Description: bacterial SSU rRNA
Rfam family: Bacterial small subunit ribosomal RNA
Source: RNAcentral